Molecule: long non-coding RNA, 278 nt
Filed under: Mytilus galloprovincialis (Mediterranean mussel)
Lineage: Eukaryota; Metazoa; Mollusca; Bivalvia; Mytilida; Mytilidae
Source: RNAcentral
AAUAAUGACCAUUUUGACUUUUACCGUUCAGGAGUUAUGGUUCUUGAAAGAUUGUGAAAUGGCGUUUCCAUUCACGUUGUUGCAUUUACUCAUGAACCAUUCAAUCUAAGCUUUUCAAAUUUUAAGAUGUUGAUACUGAUGACAAAAUGGAGGUCAAAUUUGAUAUUGACGAUUUUCACUUUCACCAUUCAUCAGUAUAAAUGGUUCUUGAGAUAUUGCCAGGACAGAAAUAAAUAUUAAUAAAUCCGGUUUGCUGUCGUUGUGACAGCCUCUUGUUU